CUUACGGAGAGUUUGAUCCUGGCUCAGAACGAACGCUGGCGGCGUGCUUAAUACAUGCAAGUCGAACG
RNAcentral lists this ribosomal RNA (68 nucleotides) under Chitinispirillaceae bacterium. RNAcentral's name for it is "partial 16S ribosomal RNA". It matches the Rfam family "Bacterial small subunit ribosomal RNA", at positions 1 to 68 of the family's 1533-position model. Lineage: Bacteria; Pseudomonadati; Fibrobacterota; Chitinispirillia; Chitinispirillales; Chitinispirillaceae. The record is from RNAcentral.